Molecule: ribosomal RNA, 490 nt
Filed under: uncultured bacterium
Lineage: Bacteria
Description: partial 16S ribosomal RNA
Rfam family: Bacterial small subunit ribosomal RNA
Source: RNAcentral
AUUGAACGCUGGCGGCAGGCCUAACACAUGCAAGUCGAACGGUAACAGGAAGAAGCUUGCUUCUUUGCUGGCGAGUGGCGGACGGGUGAGUAAUGUCUGGGAAACUGCCUGAUGGAGGGGGAUAACUACUGGAAACGGUAGCUAAUACCGCAUAACGUCGCAAGACCAAAGAGGGGGACCUUCGGGCCUCUUGCCAUCGGAUGUGCCCAGAUGGGAUUAGCUAGUAGGUGGGGUAACGGCUCACCUAGGCGACGAUCCCUAGCUGGUCUGAGAGGAUGACCAGCCACACUGGAACUGAGACACGGUCCAGGCUCCUACGGGAGGCAGCAGUGGGGAAUAUUGCACAAUGGGCGCAAGCCUGAUGCAGCCAUGCCGCGUGUAUGAAGAAGGCCUUCGGGUUGUAAAGUACUUUCAGCGGGGAGGAAGGGAGUAAAGUUAAUACCUUUACUCAUUGACGUUACCCGCAGAAGAAGCACCGGCUAACUCCGUG